UACGGGGGGGGCAAGCGUUGUUCGGAAUUACUGGGCGUAAAGGGCUCGUAGGUGGCCAACUAAGUCAGACGUGAAAUCCCUCGGCUUAACCGGGGAACUGCGUCUGGUACUGGAUGGCUAGAGUUUGGGAGAGGGAUGCGGAAUUCCAGGUGUAGCGGUGAAAUGCGUAGAUAUCUGGAGGAACACCGGUGGCGAAGGCGGCAUCCUGGACCAACACUGACGCUGAGGAGCGAAAGCCAGGGGAGCAAACGGG
This 253-nucleotide ribosomal RNA is filed under the name uncultured bacterium. Its description in RNAcentral is "partial 16S ribosomal RNA". It matches the Rfam family "Bacterial small subunit ribosomal RNA", at positions 524 to 776 of the family's 1533-position model. The record is from RNAcentral.